This is a microRNA precursor of Gossypium arboreum, 145 nucleotides long. It matches the Rfam family "MIR7502 microRNA precursor family". The record is from Rfam. NCBI's taxonomy places the organism in Eukaryota, Viridiplantae, Streptophyta, Magnoliopsida, Malvales, Malvaceae.
UGUUAAGAAUUUCAUUUAUUUAUACUUUUAAAAAUUGAUGUGAUUGACGAAAUAACUAAACUGUGACAUUUAUCAUGCCACAUGUACCUCAUGCUUAGAUACAAAAAUUAAUUUUUAACAGCAGAAAUAGAUAGAUUUUUUAAUA